GGAUGCCGCUGCUCUGACUGCCUGCCGAUCAAGAUUUUAUUUAAAUGGAACUCAUCAACGCUCAUUUGGCAAUCUCCAUCCAUGAUGGCGAUGAUGAAGCUCUGCUGUGGCAUCGAUUCCAGCCUUUUUUCCCCUUUAUUUGAAUAAAUUAAAUAUAUGGAAGGGUAUUCUAAAUAGAAUGUACACUAACCGAGGGAUAGAAAUAAAAUAUAAAAAAAUGUA
Molecule: long non-coding RNA, 222 nt
Organism: Drosophila serrata
Lineage: Eukaryota; Metazoa; Arthropoda; Insecta; Diptera; Drosophilidae
Source: RefSeq, a predicted model, not a curated record